GGUUACUCACUCCGCUCUCUGUU
This 23-nucleotide non-coding RNA is filed under the name Arabidopsis thaliana (thale cress). The record is from RNAcentral. Lineage: Eukaryota; Viridiplantae; Streptophyta; Magnoliopsida; Brassicales; Brassicaceae.